Molecule: ribosomal RNA, 475 nt
Filed under: uncultured bacterium
Lineage: Bacteria
Description: bacterial SSU rRNA
Rfam family: Bacterial small subunit ribosomal RNA
Source: RNAcentral
ACGCUGGCGGCGUGCUUAAUACAUGCAAGUCAACGACUUUUAGAGUAGCAAUAUUUUAAAAGGAGUGGCGCACGGGUGAGUACACGUAGGUAAUCUGCCUUCAGGACUGACACAACUCGUCGAAAGACGGGCUAAUAUCAGAUAAUGCAGCGGCUCCGCAUGGAGACAGUUGUUAAAGUACAAGCGCCUGAAGAUGAGCCUGCGGUCCAUUAGCUAGUUGGUAGAGUAACAGCCUACCAAGGCAACGAUGGAUAGCUGGUCUGAGAGGAUGAUCAGCCACACUGGAACUGAGACACGGUCCAGACUCCUACGGGAGGCAGUAGUAAGGAAUAUUGCUCAAUGGCCGAAAGGCUGAAGCAGCAACGCCGCGUGAAGGAUGAAUGGCCUUUGGCCUGUAAACUUCUGUAAAAGGGAAAACAAUCAGGCAUGUCCUGAUUUGAUUGUACCUUUGAAGUAAGCCCCGGCUAACUACGUG